UACGUAGGGUGCAAGCGUUAAUCGGAAUUACUGGGCGUAAAGCGUGCGCAGGCGGUUCUAUAAGACAGAUGUGAAAUCCCCGGGCUCAACCUGGGAACUGCAUUUGUGACUGUAGAGCUGGAGUACGGUAGAGUGGGAUGGAAUUCCGCGUGUAGCAGUGAAAUGCGUAGAUAUCAAGUGGAACACCAGUGGCGAAGGCGAGUCUCUGGACAUUUCCUGACGCUGAGGCACGAAAGCCAGGGGAGCAAACGGG
Molecule: ribosomal RNA, 253 nt
Filed under: uncultured bacterium
Lineage: Bacteria
Description: partial 16S ribosomal RNA
Rfam family: Bacterial small subunit ribosomal RNA
Source: RNAcentral